GGGUUUCUUUCGGCCUGGCUCAGUGGUUAGAGCAUCUGCUGGGCAGGCAGGAGGUCCUAGGUUCAAUGCCCCCGUAUGAAACCCU
This is a non-coding RNA of Podarcis lilfordi (Lilford's wall lizard), 85 nucleotides long. The record is from the annotation of a GenBank genome assembly. Lineage: Eukaryota; Metazoa; Chordata; Lepidosauria; Squamata; Lacertidae.